GUCAAAAGAUAAUUAACCCCAUUGCCAUCAUAAACUUCCUAUCAAGUCUACAUAAUGGACUCUAUUUAUUAUAUCGGCGCACCCUUUCUCAUAGUGACAGGCAGGCAGGUUUUGUCCUCCCCUCAACCUUGAUCUCAGAAAAAGGAAUAUGGGGCUAUUAUUUGAUAUCAGGACAGAAGGACUUGUAUUUGGCACUGUUUGAGGAGUUUCUGUAAGCUGAUCUUACCAGCCUGCUUGUCCACCACAACAGUCAAACUGCUUUUUUUUGUUUGUUUGUUUUCAAAAAGCCCCAUUUUUGUAUUUUCUGCAGCUUUUCUUACCCUCAGGUCUGAUAAGUUGCUUUGUUUACACAGAACUCAGACAUUUGCCUAAAUUGCAUCUGCUUGUGGAUUUUGUAUACAUUGAUUUAAAAACCCCAUUUGUAUAAUGUCACCCGUGAAGACCUGGCUUUAACAACCCUGCAAGCUCAGUGCAGUCAUUGGGACUCUGCAAGUGGUGCAGACAUGUAAGACAAGUUGUACUGUCAGGGAUUAGCAGCAGCCAUGGAAACCCAUUAUCUGCAGACCUUGUUAAAUAUGAUAGAUGUGUAAACCACUCUUCUUACAGGCUAAAGGAAGAAACAAGUCUUUUUUUAUGACAAGAUAGCCUGAGACAGAGGAGUCACUGACCAAAGCAGUUGACCUUAUAGAAAAGGUUGAUCUGAGUGUGAUCUGAGGGGUCUGUGGGGACUGAUGGCCAAGAAAGGACAAGAGGAUUCAUUACCGGUGUUGUGUGCCAGGGGCAGAAGUCUCACAAGUGGCUGAAGAGGUAAGAAUAAAUUAAUGUGCCUUGCAAGAGAGAAGAAAGAAAAAGUUCCAGGGAUAUGGGAUAUCUGAGAAGUCAGGCUGGGAAGUGGUAAGUGAAAAACUUCCUGGACUCUUCCAAGCAUUACUAAGGAAAACAGGACUCUGUUUGCAUACUUGGACAAAAAAAGUCAAAACCAGAAAUCUUACGCUACAAUCAGGGUCAGAAGUAACUUGUCACUCACAGCUUUCACUACCAGCUGGCUGCUUAGGACAGAGGGGCAACAAUUGAUCCAAUCAUUGAUCAAAAUAAUAAGCUAUCCCAUUUAAUGUACAUGUUACAUGUACUCUCAGGAAAACCAGCAUUCACUAUUUCCUUCCACUGCUGCUUGGUUCAAUGGAACACUGAUUCAGACAGUUCUUAAGCAUUUUAAAUUGCAUGAAACUGGUAAUUUCUUCUUCUUAUUAUUAGGAAUAUCUUCUGCUCCCAGCUAGGUUUAGAAAAAUGAGCAACUAUGCAAAAUCAGUUUCUUUAGAAAUCAUGUUAAAAAUCAGCAUAUCCUGGUAAACCCAUACAAAGGGGAAUGGUAUUAUUUUUAGCAGUACAACUUACUCUUUAAGAAGUCAACAACAUGAUUUGAAAGCUAAGAUUUAAUAAUAUGUAUUUUAAUAACUGAGAACAAUUCUUUAAUCUUUCUCUUUUUUUAAUCCUACUACUCAGGCAAUAUUUAAUACAUUCUUCUUAAAAAUAACCUACAAAAAUUAAGCAAAAAGUUGAACACAGGAAAGAUUCCCUUUUGAAAGUUCUUUACAGGAUAUGUGUAAAGCUGAUUUCCUUGACUGAAUCAAAUCCAUUCUCUGCUAUUCCAAGACAGUAUCAAAAUUGCAAUGUGGAAAAUAAUCUGAAAAAUGAGUUGGGCAGCCACUGGUUCAUGCUACUUUUAGAUUCCUGAAUGAUACGAUUUCCUGUUAUAUUAAAUAUUUGUGUUUGCAUCCUCAAAAAAAGAGAGGAAUAGCAUGAAUACUUCUCAGAAAUGUGUUGUCUCAAUCUUUGCUAUUUUAGAAGGACAUGGUCUUGUUCCAAGUGAUGACUGUGCAAAGAUAGAAAGAAGAUCCAGGAAAGGAAAAAAACAAACAGAGAUUUGAAGGACUUUUAGUGGCAACUGGAAAAUAGAUGAGAUUUUCAAACAACUGGAACUCUACUUUUCUAGCUUUUUUGCAUUAGUAUGUAUUAGUAUAAAACUAUGCUAAAAACUUGCAGCACUUAGAUUUCUUUGAGAUAUCUAUUUUAAGCCUCUUAGUUUAUAAAAGCUUUAUUAAACUAUUAUGACAAUGAAAAACCAUCAACAAAGCUUUAUUAGGCAGGGUGCAAGAAAUGAGUUUCAAAUAGGAGGAAAAUUACUUUUCAGAAGCUGUAUAUAUGUACUACUGUUAAAGGCAAAAAGCCCUUGAUCGCUAGUGACUUGAAAACUGGCCUAUCUACUUUCACAGCAAAGUAAGGUUCUGCCUCCCAUCAUCCCAUUUUAGCUCAUGAAGCCAGAAGUUCUGAUCCCCAUCAGGGAUUUAACUUUCGACAGAUUAUUUUCUGUCGAACCCACUGCAGUGGGUUUCUGCAAGUGGGCAAUGCAGUCACAGGGAAAUAAGAAAGUACCCCUAAAAGAAGGAAAGCCGUUUGGCCCAGCAGGCCAUACAAACACUAUGAAAAGCAGUGAAACUUAUCUGAGCACAAACCAUGUUAUGAAAAGAGUGUUUCAGUUUUUGCCUUGUAGGCAUGUACUAAAGAAAAAAAAAAAACAUAGUAAGGACAUGUUAUUGCAUGUGAACUACAGUUAGCCUUAGGCUGCUGUGGACAAGCAUCAUUUAAAGAAGAUGAAGGAAUAUGCAGAACCUGCUACUAUGGAUGAUAAUUUCCCUUGCUGAAGACGUAAUCAAUAACACACGAGAGAAGUGUCUAUUUUUGCAUUUGAAUGUUUUAAGUUCACUGUAUGUUGUGACUGAUGAUGCAAGUCUAUUUGUAAUUAAAAAAUGCAUCACUUGAAAUAUUUAAUAAAUUUUCCUUAAAGAGGUGCAUACAGUCCAUGACUAGAGUAAAGGCAAAAUAUUUUAAUGCAGUUUUAUUUUCUCCUAGGCCUACAGUAAAUUCUAUAACUACUCCACAGAUAUUUUAAUAGAGUAAGAUUGCAAAUUUCAGUUUACAUAUUUGAUGGGCAGAAAUUAAGGUGUUAUAUAAGAUCAUGCAAUAUACUUUUGUGUCUAAUUCACAUUUGUGUUUAUAUUCACAUUUAACAUUUUAUUGUUCUCAUCUCUAUAUUGCUGUUCCUCAGGACAGGAAGAUAAAAAAGACUUUCGAAAGAAAGUCUCUUUAAAAGCCAAAUGGAGACCAAGCGGACUGAAUUACUACAUAUUGCCUCAGUUAACACCACAGAUGACAAUUCUUAGAAUUAGAGAGUCACCAAGAAACAGGCAGAGAAGACUUUCAUAGACCUCCUGAAGUCUUUCUAUAACAAGGAAAUUAAAUCUCAUCUGAUAUUUUUUUCAGGGGGCUGUCUUACUUUGUAUGUCUACAGAAUUACAGCCUUGGACAUGGUGGUUAACCCACCAAACACUCCACAAGUGUUCCCACUAAAAUUAACAGUAUUGCUUAUGUAAUGAAGCACUCUUCAACACACUGCUACAAGAAUUAAAACACAAUUUAAAUCAUUAUUUUGGCUGGUUCUGGAGAUUAAGUUUCCUUUAUCUAUCUAUCUGUUUUACAUUAAUCAAUACAUUACAAAACUGACCCAAAAAACCCAAAUAACAAACCUACUAUAUUUCAGAAAUUCUAUCUUUUACAUAGCAUACAUUUUAAAUUACUUAAAUGGUUGUAUUGAUUGGAGAGUGUCCAUGCAACUCAACAAACUUAAAUUAAUUUUCUGAAGUUCAUGUAAUAUUUCAGAAACUACUUAGAAAAUAUGUAGGAAGUUAUGCCACCUAGUUCAUUCUUUCGCCAAAAUGUCACUGCUCCUGACUGUAUUCUUGCUAAUGUAUCUUCAGAACUAAUUAUUUCAGAAGUAAUUACCUGCCUUUAUAGCUCUGUUCCAUUAUCCAAUGGGCCAGCAUUUAUUGAAAAUGUUGGUUCAGAAGGGGAGAGGAGAUGCUAUACUCACUUUAUGGAAGGAUUUGAAAGUUUAUACAAUCAAGCUAUUGCGUACCAAUGCAAGCUGGGCACAAUGGACCUACCAGGAGGACCUGCUACUUAUCUUAAAGCUCACUAAGUAAUUGAACUGUGUGCCAGGCAGAUGCUGUAAAGAAUAACCAUCCUCAGUAGACUACUGAGCCACUACAACUAUAAUAUGAGAGCCACAGUCCUGAAGUGGACACAGCAUCAGCUUUAUAAACCUGGUAUGUCAAGAAAUCUAUAAAAUGUCACAUAUAUCGACAUUAUGAUAGUGGGAAUGCAUUGUGAAAGGCAAGCAAUGGCUCUGCUUGUGGGACUGCUCUGAAUAGUGUUUUUUAAGUUAGCAUAGCAAGAAGGCUUCUAGAAUUUAGCAUCUAAAUGAAGCAUCUAGAUAUG
Molecule: long non-coding RNA, 4335 nt
Organism: Struthio camelus australis
Lineage: Eukaryota; Metazoa; Chordata; Aves; Struthioniformes; Struthionidae
Source: RefSeq, a predicted model, not a curated record